AAUCCAUAAUGUGGGCAUCUUUGUAUUAGCUUUUUAAAAUGCUCCCAAGCUCCGUGAAAGCUCUCUUCUUCUAAUUAUUUGAACGUUGCGAUCUCUCUUCUCAAUU
Non-coding RNA from Gossypium hirsutum (cotton), 106 nucleotides. The record is from Rfam. NCBI's taxonomy places the organism in Eukaryota, Viridiplantae, Streptophyta, Magnoliopsida, Malvales, Malvaceae.